UACAACUUUCAACAACGGAUCUCUUGGCUCUCGCAUCGAUGAAGAACGCAGCGAAAUGCGAUAAGUAAUGUGAACUGCAGAAUUCAGUGAAUCAUCGAAUCUUUGAACGCACAUUGGCCCUUUUGGUAUUCCGAAAGCAUGCCUGUUUGAGUGUCAUA
This 158-nucleotide ribosomal RNA is filed under the name basidiomycete from Arundinaria gigantea. RNAcentral's name for it is "5.8S ribosomal RNA". It matches the Rfam family "5.8S ribosomal RNA". Rfam says of the family: 5.8S ribosomal RNA (5.8S rRNA) is a component of the large subunit of the eukaryotic ribosome. Lineage: Eukaryota; Fungi; Basidiomycota. The record is from RNAcentral.